UAGCUUGCUAAUGAAAUUCUUAGUGGCGGACGGGUUAGUAACACGUGAGAAUCCUACCCUUGAGUGGGGAAUAGCCUUUCGAAAGGAAGAUUAAUGCCCCAUAGUCUCUACGGAGUAAAGAUGCCUUCGGGUGUCGCUUAAGGAUGGGCUCGCGGCCUAUCAGCUAGUUGGUGAGGUAAGAGCUCACCAAGGCAACGACGGGUAGCUGGUCUGAGAGGACGAUCAGCAACACUGGAACUGAGACACGGUCCAGACACCUACGGGUGGCAGCAGUCGAGAAUCAUUCACAAUGGACGAAAGUCUGAUGGUGCAACGCCGCGUGGAGGAUGACGGCCCUAGGGUUGUAAACUCCUGUCAUCAGGGAGUAAGACUUAUUCGUUAAUAGCGUGUAAGUUUGAUAGUACCUGAAGAGGAAGGGACGGCUAACUUCGUGCCAGCAGCCGCGGUAAUACGAAGGUCCCAAGCGUUGUUCGGAAUAACUGGGCGUAAAGCGUGUGUAGGCCGCGCGGAAAGUCGGAUGUGAAAGCCC
Molecule: ribosomal RNA, 529 nt
Filed under: uncultured Roseibacillus sp.
Lineage: Bacteria; Pseudomonadati; Verrucomicrobiota; Verrucomicrobiia; Verrucomicrobiales; Verrucomicrobiaceae
Description: bacterial SSU rRNA
Rfam family: Bacterial small subunit ribosomal RNA
Source: RNAcentral